UACGUAGGGUGCAAGCGUUGUCCGGAAUUAUUGGGCGUAAAGAGCUCGUAGGCGGUCUGUCGCGUCUGCUGUGAAAAUCCAGGGCUCAACCCUGGACCUGCAGUGGGUACGGGCAGACUAGAGUGCGGUAGGGGAGAUCGGAAUUCCUGGUGUAGCGGUGAAAUGCGCAGAUAUCAUCAGGAACACCGGAGGCGAAAGCGGUCCACUGGGUCCUUUCUGACGCUGAGGGACGAAAGCUAGGGGAGCGAACGGG
Molecule: ribosomal RNA, 253 nt
Filed under: uncultured bacterium
Lineage: Bacteria
Description: partial 16S ribosomal RNA
Rfam family: Bacterial small subunit ribosomal RNA
Source: RNAcentral